UUGGAGGGCAAGUBUGGUGCCAGCAGCCGCGGUAAUUCCAGCUCCAAUAGCGUAUAUUAAAGUUGUUGCGGUUAAAAAGCUCGUAGUUGAAUCUGUGUGUCACGAUGUUGGUUCACCGCUCGCGGUGUUUAACUAGCAUGCCGUGAGACGUCCUACCGGUGGGCUUAGCUCUUCGGGGCGGUCCAACUAAUAUCCCAUCGCGGUGCUCUUCAUUGAGUGUCGAGGUGGGCCGGUACGUUUACUUUGAACAAAUUAGAGUGCUUAAAGCAGGCUAUCUUCGCCUGAAUACUGUGUGCAUGGAAUAAUGGAAUAGGACCUCGGUUCUAUUUUGUUGGUUUUCGGAACCCCGAGGUAAUGAUUAAUAGGGACAGAUGGGGGCAUUCGUAUUGCGACGUUAGAGGUGAAAUUCUUGGAUCGUCGCAAGACGGACAGAAGCGAAAGCAUUUGCCAAAAAUGUUUUCAUUAAUCAAGAACGAAAGUUAGAGGUUCGAAGGCGAUCAGAUACCGCCCUAGUUCUAACCAUAAACGAUGCCAGCUAGCGAUCCGCCGAAGUUCCUCCGAUGACUCGGCGGGCAGCUUCCGGGAAACCAAAGCUUUUGGGUUCCG
Molecule: ribosomal RNA, 606 nt
Filed under: Hemiteles sp. BFS-2018
Lineage: Eukaryota; Metazoa; Arthropoda; Insecta; Hymenoptera; Ichneumonidae
Description: SSU rRNA
Rfam family: Eukaryotic small subunit ribosomal RNA
Source: RNAcentral